CCUACGGGGGGCAGCAGUGGGGAAUAUUGGACAAUGGGGGCAACCCUGAUCCAGCCAUGCCGCGUGUGUGAAGAAGGCCCUCGGGUUGUAAAGCACUUUCAGUGAGGAAGAACGCCUGGUGGUUAAUACCCAUCAGGAAAGACAUCACUCACAGAAGAAGCACCGGCUAACUCCGUGCCAGCAGCCGCGGUAAUACGGAGGGUGCGAGCGUUAAUCGGAAUUACUGGGCGUAAAGCGCGCGUAGGUGGCUUGAUAAGCCGGUUGUGAAAGCCCCGGGCUCAACCUGGGAACGGCAUCCGGAACUGUCAAGCUAGAGUGCAGGAGAGGAAGGUAGAAUUCCCGGUGUAGCGGUGAAAUGCGUAGAGAUCGGGAGGAAUACCAGUGGCGAAGGCGGCCUUCUGGAUUGACACUGACACUGAGGUGCGAAAGCGUGGGUAGCAAACAGGAUUAGAUACCCUGGUAGUC
RNAcentral lists this ribosomal RNA (465 nucleotides) under Vreelandella stevensii. Its description in RNAcentral is "partial 16S ribosomal RNA". It matches the Rfam family "Bacterial small subunit ribosomal RNA", at positions 338 to 795 of the family's 1533-position model. Lineage: Bacteria; Pseudomonadati; Pseudomonadota; Gammaproteobacteria; Oceanospirillales; Halomonadaceae. The record is from RNAcentral.